RNAcentral lists this long non-coding RNA (540 nucleotides) under Gallus gallus (chicken). Its description in RNAcentral is "lncRNA (ENSGALG00010028967.1)". Lineage: Eukaryota; Metazoa; Chordata; Aves; Galliformes; Phasianidae. The record is from RNAcentral.
GGGAGCCCAGGAAGGCUGGCAAUACUUUCAGGAAGUAAUUUUAAAGGUGCAGGAGCUGACCAUCCCCAGGUCAUGGAAGAUGAGCUGAUGGGCAAGGAGGCUGGACUGGCUGAACAGAGACCUUCCACUGGAACUCAAGAGCAAAAUGAAAGAUUAUGGUCUGUGGAAGAGUGGGCAAGCUACUUAUGAUGAUUACAGAGAGAAUCCCUCGAGGAGCGCUGACGGUGCCUCUGACACCCGACGCCAUUUUCCCUGAAGCGACUGUGCCGCCACCGGACCCCGCCUGGAUGCAGCCCACCAUCCGCGGACCGAUGCCGGUACCACCCCAAGCCCUCCCUGUCCCCACUGCCACCUACCUGGCGCCUCAGGCCUCUGUCUGGCCUGGGGUACCAGGUGUCUGGGGACAGGCAGCGCAGCUCCCCCCUGGGGGGCUGCCCCCAACUGGGGCUCAACUGCCACCUGGGGGCCUGCCCCCAACUCUGGGGCUGCACUUACCGCUGCUGCAGCUGCUACCUGGGGGGCUGCACCCAGCUAGGGCUC